GGCACUGCUCCUUGCAGCUAGUCACUGCAGGGUUGUCAGAGCUGUUGCUGGACGUGCAGAAGGGAGAGAUGAAACAUGGACCGAGGGCGGCAGCCAAACGGGAUCCUCAAAACUUGUUUGCUGCUGAAAUGGGAGAAUUGAAUAUUUUUCCACUUAAUCUAAAAAUUGGCCUUGGUUUCUUGGAAUGUUUCUCACCUCCUCUCAGCAUCAUCUACUGGAAAGAAGGCUCAAGAGAAAGUUGGGGAAGAUCUAUCAAUGAAACACCCGAGGAAACCCACCCUGAUACCUUCAUUUCUCCAUUUGUGCAGCCCACGUUGUGGUGUAAUGCAAAUCUAUGGCUAUACUGUAUCACAGCGAAUAAAUCCAUUUGGAGAAAAAGGCACCUGGUGAAAGGCCACAGUGCAAUGGAAUGCAAUGCUGCUAUGUGCAAUGCUGCUUACAAGAAAACUUUGGGUAAAUAUUGCACGGGUCAAACUUACGAUCCAACUUUUUCACGUAACAGGGCCGCGUAUUGGAUGCCUUCAGAAUUCCCAUUCAGCGUGUCCACUUUGCUCUUUGAUGCAAUGCCACCUCACAAAAGCAUUCAAGCCACAGUCAUCUAUUUUUUUCCUUCUUUCUCCCCUUGCUAUAAUGACCCAAAUCUCCGUUUUUACUUUGUAAUUUUUGUAAGUUUUUUAAGGCAAUGACUAUAAUAAUUCAUGUUUAGUGAAAUAAUUCUUUUGGUUGAUAUAUUUCACAGUUUGGUCUCUAAAAAAAGUUAAAAAACAACAACAAGAACCAAAAACAAACAACCCCCCGCCCCAAGCUUCCCUCUGCUUGAUGCCAUAGACAAGAGUCCAAAGGACAUUAGCUGCUCCAUUGCACACAUUGGAAGGGAGAGUUUGCUGUGAGCUCAGUCCUUCUAAUAGACUGGCAAUUUUGUAAAAGAUUUAGAGAAUUUUGUUUAACCAUUUCUGCAUGUGUUUUUAAUGAGCUCAUGAUGGUUUCUAACAAAGGCCAGGUUGUGUGUUUUCCAGCACUUUCUGACCUGAUUCCUCCCUGCUGACUUGGGGAGUGGGCACCUGUGCUUCUCUCCUGGCUCACCUAUGGGAGUCGGGGUGGUGGGGCCAUCUCCGGGCCUGUCUUCACGCCAGGGAUGAAUCAUGUAGUAGGCAGAGUGGAAGGAGUCUCUUUGUUGACAGCUUUCCAUCUGGACUUUGGAUACGGCUGAUCGUUCAUGUAGAGCCGUGGUUAGCUGGAAGGGGCUACGCGAGUCAGCUCCUCCUUAAGGGAUCAAGGGUGUGUAAAACAUCAGGAAAGAACUGCCUGGGAUUUCAUUUGCAAAGCUUAGAGAAGCAUUUUAUCCUCUGAGUUUCAGGUAGCCAGGGUUGUGAAUGUGUAUGACUGCAGCUUUGACAGGUCGGUCUUUAAUAGUCAAUAGGAUCAUUUAUAGCCUCGUUCAGAUAAUCCAACUGGAGUACACCUGAAUAAAUACAUCAAGUUCAGGUGGCUAAAAGCUAACCCCUUUUGAGUUUAAUAAUUAAAAUAAACAGAGCUAUGAAGAUGAAUUUCAGUUUGUCAUGCAUAAAUGUAAGAAGCUCCAUAAAGGAUGGUGUUCUGUGAUUCAUAUAGGAGUAUGAUGGAUGUAUGAUACGUUUUCCACAGCUAUUUAAGAAAAAACGAUUAUCUUAGUCAUGGGGUAAAGUUAUGUGAAGCAUUGCACCAUCCAGGCUGUGUCUGGGCCAGUACAGAUUUUUUUUCUUUUUCUUUUUCUUUCUUUCUUUUUUUUUUUUUUGUGAAAGAUUACUUCUUGGCAAACUAGAUAUGCAAACGCCAGAAUACAGUAAAACCACAUUUAAUUGGACCUACUUGCCAACUUCUUGAACACAGCUUGGAUUAUUCCACUGGAGGCUGCUUCUGUUAAAAGCUGGGGGAGGAGGAAGUGGCAUAUUGACAAGACUUCAGAUAAUUUUUUUUUCACUCGAAGUACAAUUAUGCAAUGAGCCAAGUUUGGAAGUAUUUUACUAUGUUUAAUAAUUAUUAUUAAAGAUAUUGUAAAACAUAUGCAUUUGUUAAGUGGAAUGUAAUGGGAGUAAAAUCAUGUCAUCAAUUUUCCUUUGGAUUUAUUUUCCCAUUUUGUGUUUUAUUUGACAGCCUUCCAAAUUGAUUCUAGCCAAAACCAUGCACUCUAAUAUAUAUCAUACUUGAUAUUAAAGUGAGAAUGCGAGUAAUUUAUAGAAUCUGAGUGAGAACAGUUUUCUUCUCUUAGCCAGCCUAUAUGGAGCUGCCACCUCUGCUCAGGUAGCAACCGACACAUGCCUUGUACACAGAAAGGAAAAUAAUAGGGGUCGAGAAAUCCUCCACACAUCCUUCCUGAUAGACACUCCAAAACCCACAUAUCCCAGGCAUUGUUCAGUGGGAGAUCAGGGGCAAGGAGAAGGAUAACUAUUUCUUUAUGUGUGUGUGAAUCUAGAGGAACCAGACUUGUCUCUGGAAAUGCAAGUGGGAAGUGGGAUUCACUGAGAAGCCAUCAUUCUGCUCAGGUGAGUCCUGACUUCAGGCGAGGGAUCCUAAAGGUGACACCGCGAUCCUUCACCUGGAAAGCCAAGGAGACAUGACAUCAGUGUGUUUCACAUCCUAAGCUUAAACAAAUGUAUAUUGUUUUUACCGCCUCUUUCUCAAGGGGGAACACUGCCCCUGAAACUGCACUCCUUGAAACCGAGCAAAGGUGCCAUCGCUAAUGAUUAGCAAGACGCUCCGGAUGGUUUGCAUCGAACUCCACCUGCUAUGUGAAAACCCCAUGCUUUUCUCACUUUCCCAUUCAAGCUGCUUAGCAGUUGGGUCCUCUCCUCUGAGUGUGGUUAUGUGUCAGUUUGACUUCUGUGUGCCCUGCGAUUUCGUUGUUUUCUUCUGCCCUGCCACAGCAAAUGACCAGUGGAGGCAACCAGCGGACGGAGGAAAAGGGCAGGUCCCUGCAUCCAUCUCAGCGCCCUGCAGCCGGCGGCCUGUCCUUUCAGGCGGGAGUUCCCAGCGGCGUUCCUAGGUGUUUUGAAUGUGUGCCCCGGGGCUGGGGGAAGCCUCGUGCAGUUCUGCUGCUGUGGGAGGCAGGGGGGACUGGAGGGGACGGGAGCAGUGUGAGGCUUUCAUGUGCAGAGGGGACAUGAGGACAUCUGGAUGGCAUCCCUGUGAGCAGGGCUCCCGCUGCAGGCCUUUGAAAACCCCGCUGCCCUGGCUCCCCAGUGCCUUGGAACUUUCUCCCUGGAGAAUGCAGAAAAGCCAGUGCCCUUGAUUUCUUAGACAUCUACAGCUUCGACACGUGCAGGGUUAUCCAGGAGCAGUGAGGUUUGGGGUGAGGGCCUGAGCACUUUCUGAAAAGUGCUUGUUUCUAAGAACCUGGAACUAUGAGUGAGGAGUGACAUGAGUUCUGCCCUCAAGUCCUCUGAUAACCAGCUGUGCAGUCUUGAACAAGUGACUUCAUCUCUUCAUCUUUAAAAUAAACCUUUUGGGCCAAAUGA
This 3494-nucleotide long non-coding RNA is filed under the name Homo sapiens (human). Its description in RNAcentral is "uncharacterized LOC440742, transcript variant 1 (LOC440742)". The record is from RNAcentral. Lineage: Eukaryota; Metazoa; Chordata; Mammalia; Primates; Hominidae.